GUUCCUCAUCUUGCACUCCUUCCUCUGCAUUUGUCAAUAACUCAAAAGCAUUUCGGAUUUGUAUCAUAUUAUUAGCAUCUUAUGCUAAGGAGAAAACAGCCUCACGAGCAAAGAAAUUUGGUGGCAGUUCCGGAAAACUUAUCCAGGCCAGAGCCACCGAAGUUUCUUCAUUUGGUUUGAACCAUGGGUUCCAAAUCAUCGGUCUCAUUUGACAAUAUCUAUUAUUCAUUGAAAUGUAAUAAGCAGGGGUAGAAAGUAUUUUGAUGUAAUCCUCCAAUAAUGAAAAUCUCAUCAAAAUGUGUCUAUCUUCAAUAAGGCCAAUUUCACACUUACCUUUAAUUCCACAUUGUUCAGGAAUAGCAGUUCUAAGGGCCCUUAUGUU
Long non-coding RNA from Lycium ferocissimum, 382 nucleotides. RefSeq lists it as uncharacterized. Lineage: Eukaryota; Viridiplantae; Streptophyta; Magnoliopsida; Solanales; Solanaceae. The record is from RefSeq and is a predicted model, not a curated record. The transcript has 2 exons.